Molecule: small RNA, 617 nt
Filed under: Pongo abelii (Sumatran orangutan)
Lineage: Eukaryota; Metazoa; Chordata; Mammalia; Primates; Hominidae
Description: processed transcript
Source: RNAcentral
AGCCUUCAGAGUCAGUCCUGUUAAUUAGCUGCGGAGUUAAAGGCCUCUGUGCUAAUGAACUCCUCUGAUGUCUCUUAAGCAUCCUUCUAGUUUGGCAUCACCCACUGCCAUAACCCCAGUAGCCUCACCCAUUUGCAGCAAAACAAGAGGCACCACACCCGUUUCCAAACCCCUGGAAGAUAUCGAAGCCAGACCAGGUAUGCAGUUAGAAUCGGACCUGAAGCUGGACAGGCUGGAAACCUUUCUAAGAAGGCUGAAUAACAAAGUUGGCGGGAUGCACGAAACGGUGCUCACUGUCACCGGCAAAUCUGUGAAGGAGGUGAUGAAGCCGGAUGAUGAUGAAACCUUUGCCAAAUUUUACCGCAGCGUGGAUUAUAAUAUGCCGCGAAGUCCUGUGGAGCUGGACGAGGACUUCGAUGUCAUUUUCGAUCCUUAUGCACCCAAAUUGACGUCUUCCGUGGCUGAGCACAAGCGGGCAGUUAGGCCUAAGCGCCGGGUUCAGGCCUCCAAAAACCCCCUGAAAAUGCUGGCGGCAAGAGAAGAUCUCCUUCAGGAAUACACUGAGCAGAGAUUAAACGUUGCCUUCAUGGAGUCAAAGCGGAUGAAAGUAGAGAAGA